This is a long non-coding RNA of Taeniopygia guttata (zebra finch), 5369 nucleotides long. NCBI's taxonomy places the organism in Eukaryota, Metazoa, Chordata, Aves, Passeriformes, Estrildidae. The record is from Ensembl.
AAGAGUAUUGUGUGAAUUCAUGGGCAUUGUGAGGGAAAUUGGUGACCUUGCAGGGGACGGCUGGAGCAGGUCCCUAAAGUCUGGUAUCCUCAUUUUCCAUCUCUUGGAAAAAAUUCACUUGGUUUUUUCAGUUGAAGAGUGUGGAGGGAAAUUGAUUCUUGUCUGAACUGCCUCAUGCUCAUGAAUGCCGGUGGAUGUAACUUAAUAACAGCACAAGGGGCAUGGGCUUCUCCCUGCCUGCAGCACCACGAGGAUCCUGCUGAGCGAGCACAGGGGGAGCACAAGGGAGCAGCUCUGGGAUGAUGCCCUGGGUGCUUCUGCAUGGCUGUGGAAUAAGGUCCAGCUGACAAGCAAGCCUGGGGAGCUGUGGAAGAAAAGUGCCCAGAGGAGAACAAGGAAUACAGUGCAGUCAGCUGGAGGUUUCAUUGGAAGGCACACACACACCCAGGGUUUAAAGGGAUGAAGGGAACGUAAUUCAGCAGAUUCCUUUGGAGCAGCACUUGUUCUCCUGGCUGACAGAGGGACCAGAAAAAAUGGAGGAGCAAUUUGAGACUACAGGACAAAUAGAUGCUGUCCUAACCUCUGUCUGCUCACUGCUCCCUGGAGCUGCUGUGACAGGCUGGACCCACCUUCCUUUCACUCAGUUCAGUGGAGAGUGUGGUACCUACAUUUCAAUUGGAAUGGACAGGGCAGCAUUUCACACCUCCUGCUUCAGCCUGAGGGACUCUCUCUUCCUAAACAAGUUCUUCUAUGAAGUCAAUAAAAAUGUGGUUGUAGUUUGUUGUUCCACAAAUGUGUAAACUCUGUCAAAUCUUCAAAAUGCCAGCCCCAGACAGGCAGUGGGAUGACAACGUUGUUCUAUUAGAGCUGCUGUGCUGUCAGCAGCCCUUUCCUGGGUGUUGUUUCCUAUCAGGCACCUGAGAAAAAACUCUUGGAGUGGGCUUGAGGUGUGAUGUUCCUACAAGCACGAUUUUCAAUUUUCCUUGUGAGCUGCAGGUAUUUCUCAGCUGUUUCCCAGUGCCCGUUUUCUGUUUGCUCUGGCUUCUCCUUAUCUCCCAUUCCUGCUGUGGUUUCCCAUAGCAUGAGGUACCUCUCACAACCUGCAGCAGCUCUGAAGCCCUGGGCUCCUGGCCAGGUUUUUAUUAUUGUUCUUAUGAACUGUUAACUCUCCUUUUUCAAAAGUGCAUGAAGGAGGCAGACCUGGAGGCUUUUACUUGUAAAGCUCUUCUGUCUUUGGUUUCUCCUGGCAACGCUUUGUUCUCAGCAUAUCUUGUUCAUAUGGAAAGGGGUUUUUAUUCCCUUGGUGUUGGUCACAAUUCUGAGCAGCAUCUUUCACCCUCCCAUCCCUCACUGGGCUCAAAUGCCUGUUUCUGAAACAUGAACAACAAAUACCUCUUAAAAUUUAAGGAAGACACAUUCAAAGAACUCAAGAGUAAAUUAGAAGUAUAAUUCUCUGUUAUUUUAAAAUGUUAUAUUGUAUUUUCUAAGUGUCAUCCUAAUAUACUUCAGGAACUUUUAUUUCCAAACAAUGGAAUUAAAAAUAUAAUGCAAAUACAGGAUAGUACCCUUAGUAUUCCUUAUUUCAGUUAGCAAGGAAAAAAAUUAGUUUUCCAUUGCUAUUGCCCACUGAAGCUGUGGCUGCCCCUGGAUCCCUGGAAGUGUCCAAGGCUAGGUUGGACAGGCCUUGGAGCAGCCUGGGACAGCGGAAGGUGUCCCUGCCCAUGUCAGGGAGUGGCACUGGAUGAACUUUAAGGUCCUUUCCAACCCAAACCACUCAGUGAUUCUAUGAUAAUACUCCUGCUGAAAUAUUUAAUAGCUGUUUUUAUCUUAAUGCUUUGUCACUCUGUGGAACUGGAUUUCCUCUGUGCAUUUUGUGGUCACAAUCUGCAGUAUUUCAAAUGCUGUUCCUUUAUUCCACAUGCAGGUGAAUUCUGUGGGUAUUUGUUCUGGUAAAAAGUGUAGUUGACUCCCUUUUUUCCUUGGGGUAAUGGAUAACCACAUCAAUAGACAACAAGAAAUAAGUUGAAGCUGGUGAGUUUUGGUGCCCUUUCUCUUGUUGGUUCAGCUUUUCCCAAGGUCUAGGGCCAGGCAGAGCGGUUCCUGUGGAUUCCCACAGGUCCUGGCCAUGGUCUCCUCGCGAUUGUCUGACCUCAGACCAAAACCAAGCCAAGCAGCUCAAGAAAAAAACCAAAGGCUGCUGAAGGAUUGCUGCUGCAGUCCCUCCAAGCCUGGGAAAAGGGGAAAAAAUAAGCUUUUUCGUUAAGCCAACGCAAAACCAAUCUGGCUGAGCAACAAAGCACCCAGUGAUACGCACCGCGCUGAGCGCACCGGGAGAGCGCCUUGAACAAAACCCGCGCAGGAGCCCCAAGGCUCCCACCACUGCUCCAGACCCACCCCAAAGCUCCAGCAGCCACUUCUGGGCAUAAAGCAGAUGAUGUGGGAAUAGAACAUCAUCAUAAAGUCACCUCAAAACAACAGGGGGUUUUUGAAGCACGUUUGAAGCACAUGAUGCUGUUGGAGUCACACAAGGAGAAAUCAGUGAAAGGAACUCUCUGCUUCAAGACAAAAAGCACCAAAAAAGUAAGAGCCCAGCUCUCCUUUUCUAUAAAUCAACAGCCAAGAAACUCCAAGGAGUGCUUUUCCAGCAUUGGUGCCUACCCACUGCCCCCUUGGCAGCAUUUUUUCUGAAUGAUACAGCAAAACAGGAAGUAAGCAGAUGCAAUUUUUUUCCCUCUACAGUCCUGCAAACUCCUCUUCGUGUGCCCAUCGGCAAAGGCAGCAGGAGUUUCACAGUAAGAAACCUCUCCAAGCUACAAAUUCUGUCCCCUGGGAGGAAGUUCAGCACUUAUCAGCAUCUUCCUCCUUUUUUAUUAGAAAUGAAGGCACGAUCCUGAAAUAAAAGGAAACAUAUUGGCAACUGUCAGCUUUUGGGAAGACAUCACCAAUAAUUUUGUCAUGAAAAUAAGUGUACAGCCCAUAGCAGUACUGUUAUUUAAGUCUGUUACCACCCUUGGAGUGAUAUCUCAGAAUUAUUUCACCCCAGCCCCCAGGAACUGUUGCUUUCAGGUAAUUCAGAAUAUAAGGAGUUAUCAAAAUGUUCAUGUAGACAAUGUUUUCUGCUUUAGAGAAGAAAAUAAAUUGGAUUUUAGUUGUUUUCCCAUACUAUGCCAAUCUCUGGCCCUCAAAGAGAGCAGUCCAUUUUACCGAUUUUUAGUCAUUUUCCUUAUUAAAAAUAACUGGAAUGCAAACAAAAACACCUGCAGCCACACAAGAUCUGUGAUAUUUUAAUAACAUUUGCUAAUCGUUUUGGUGUCCUUUGUAAUUCCUUUGAAGCUCAGUUUCUUACAGCUUAGUACAUAUCUUCCUUUAAUAUCACUGUUUUCAAAAUGUCAAAUUAAUUCUUUAAUGAUCUUGUUGACACCCAAAAUCUUUUGAGCUUCCAUCAGAUAAAACAAAGCUGUCUUAGCCCAGCAUCUAUCUCCAAAUGUUAUUAACUUUUCUUUUUGUGUUUUGUGCAGACACCUGAAAUAUUACAUGCAAUUAAGAGCCUUUUGAUCUUCAAAGGCUGACAUGCAGGGGCUGAAACCAUGCCUGGGUGUCAGAGUCACAGGGACAUCUGUUCUUGGAUUAAUUUUCCAAGCCCCAGAUAAUUUCCACUGCUUUCCCAAUAUAUCCUGCAUUAAAUACGUCUGGACUUUUUACCAAAUAGAUGAAAGAAGAUGGUAAAGCUUCUUCUCUCCUGAUUGGUUUAAAAAUCUUUUGUAGUGUAUUUUUAAAUUAAUAUUCAACCUAAUGUUUUAAAUAAUCAGAACUAUUUAGCUGUCCAAAAUAAUCAUGACAAUUAAUACAAGGUCCAAGACCCAAUAAAGACUGAAUUUUCCAAACAAAAGCCUGAUUUUCCAGGUAUUCUUGUUGAUCCUUUAGACAACGUUCAUGGAAGGCUGAGUGGCCACAUGUUUCAGGGUGGCAAAAUUGGGCUUUUUUGGCUCCAAAAGUUGAGCCAAUCACUUGAACAGAUGAAUCAGAAUUGUGAUGUACUGAGACCAUCCCAAGUUCAUCAGAGAUGGGAUGGUGGAAAAUCCAGACUCUUCUGUAUGGGGUUGAAAACCGAGUGAUCCUACAUGCUGUGGCCCCAAAUCUGUGGGGUUUGGCAGGACUGGGACAAUAUUCCUUUGUCAUUCACAACUGACCCAAUUGCUUUGCUACCAGCUGAAGAUGUUGUUUAAAUCCCAUAUCCAACAAUCAAAUAGCCCCAGGCACAAAAGUCUUCCUAAAUUAAAGUGUUCAAUAUCUGAAGUCUUUUUAUAGCUGUGAGCUCUUCAUUGAGUGUGGACAAUGCAAAUGAGAACAGAGCAACAACAGUUAUAAUGAUAAAAAAAUUCUAAUUUAUCACUUCACCAUCUGCUUACCAUGGGAAACACAUUGAAAAUUACUUGAAUGAAUCUAGAGUGAAAUUCAAAAUUAGAUCUUCACUCCUCAGAGGAACAUGUUUCUAGAAAAAUCUCUAAUGAGCAACAACUGGCUAAAAGCACAGCCCACCACUCAGCUGGAGCUUGAUUUCCUGCAAGGAAGUGCACGGUGGGAUUGCUUGGAGUGAAGGCAGGGGGAAAUUCCUGGUCCUCACAGUCUUUUUGAAAGGAAAAAACCCCAAAUGGGUAAGAAAUAUUCAAGUACUUCUGAAAACCUCAAUUAUUUUGAGAGCCCUGCCAAGGGAGUGGAGAUCUCCAUCACAAAAUUAAGAUUUCAUUUCAGUGGGAGAAAAAAAUUCAUUGGGAAGAUAAAUCCUGUGAAAUAUGAAGAACAGUGCAGUAGUUGAAAGAGAAGGGAAAGGAAUAUAAAGCCAUCCUAAUUCCAUUUAAAAGCACAAUAUUGAAUUUUGUAUAGCUUUAAAAACUCCUGAUAAUUCACGAACAGCCAAAGAAGAAACACACUUCAUAUGUCAGCUAUGGAUAACUCCUAUAUUGAGCUGUUUCCCUGCUGCUUCCCUGGUUAUUGUAUCGCUCUUCCAAGCCUCCCAAAGUCCUUGCCUCAUAAACCAUGGAGAUAAUUCCAAUAUAUUAUCCCCAUCAUCAUCUUUUUACAGAUCUUUAUGAUCCAUGCUCAUUCCAAACCAGUUUUCCCACUUGCCUUUAUUGACAUGAAUUUUGCCACAGGGUCACAGCCCAGGCUGGCUCAGCCUUUGGUCUCAGUGGGGAUCUUUAGGUACAACCUGAAUUUUUAAAAAUGAACACAGGACCCUGAGGAGCUUCCAAACCACUGAAAUGAAAAAAAUCUGUGUAUUCCCUCCUGUGGAUGUGAUACCCACAGAAGUUUGUAAACAACAAAGCAGACCUUACAAAUGCUCCAAAUCUCUUCAUUUUUCUCUUAUU